GUCUACGGCCAUGUCACCCUGAACACGCCCCCGAUCCCGUCUGAUCUCGGAAGCUAAGCAGGGUCGGGCCUGGUUAGUACUUGGAUGGGAGACCACCUAGAAGACCAGGUGCUGUAGGCG
This 120-nucleotide ribosomal RNA is filed under the name Pteropus alecto (black flying fox). The record is from RNAcentral. Lineage: Eukaryota; Metazoa; Chordata; Mammalia; Chiroptera; Pteropodidae.